AAAGUACACAUGGAAACGAUAUUAGAGGAUGAGUUAUAUGCAAAAUCAGGGAUCGUGACCCUUAUGAACAGAUGUCUUCUUACCAUUUCAACUCGUGGCGAACUUAUGAUGCAUCAACUGCUUCAAGAAAUGGGAAGAAACAUAGUUGGUGUAGAGUCCAAAGAUCCUGCAAAACGUAGUAGAGUAUGGCAUGAUGUUGAAUCUUAUCAAAUGUUGAGCAAAGAAGAAGGUUCAAGUACAAUUGAAGGCUUAGCACUUGACAUGCGAAAGCUCAAACAGGGGAUGUUAUUUGAGGUAUGAAAAAGAUGUAAAUUAUUGUUUGGGACAUGGAAUUGUUUACUAUGAUUUCUUUAAUCGAUUAAUGUUAUCCUACAUCAACAUGUGAAGAAAA
Molecule: long non-coding RNA, 391 nt
Organism: Helianthus annuus (common sunflower)
Lineage: Eukaryota; Viridiplantae; Streptophyta; Magnoliopsida; Asterales; Asteraceae
Exons: 2
Source: RefSeq, a predicted model, not a curated record